Molecule: small RNA, 1337 nt
Filed under: Pongo abelii (Sumatran orangutan)
Lineage: Eukaryota; Metazoa; Chordata; Mammalia; Primates; Hominidae
Description: retained intron
Source: RNAcentral
GGGACGCGGCGGAGGAGGGUCGCUGUCCACCCGGGGGCGUGGGAGUGAGGUACUGGAUUCAGCCCGUUUGGCCCCGACGCCUCUGUUCGCGGAAUCCGGGUGCUGCGGGUUGAGGUCCCGGUUCCUAACGGUGGGAUCGGUGUCCUCGGGAUGAGAUUUGGGGUUUCCUCGGGGCUUUGGUGGGAUCGGUGUCCUCAGGAUGAGAUUUAGGGUUUCCUCAGGAUGAAAUUUAGGGUUUCCUCGGGGCUUUGGGGAUCUUCACCUAAUAUCCGGGAUUAUUUUAUGAGAGGAGUAGUCUUGGCUGUCAGAACUGGAUCCCUGGGGUGAUAUUUGGGAGUUAGUGGAGUGAUCUCUGAAGACCUAGGGCUAUGAGCUGGACCUGCUGGGGCUGAAAUUUGGGGCCUCUGAAGUGGCAUGGAGAUUGAGGUCCAGAGAGCCUGAGAUCUUGAGGGCUGACAUUUGGAGAGAUGGGGUUGAGGGUUGUCUUUGGGCCUUGACUGCUUUGGGCCUUUCUCACUCUCAUUCCCGGGAUGCUUUGCCAGAAUCUCUGCUGGAUUGGCCGUAACCCUGUCCCUGAGCGGGCUCACAGGGUCUGAAGGCCACACACGAGGCAAAGGUAAAGUUCUGAGCCACCGGGUGCCUCCUUCCCAGGACUGCAAGAUGGAGGAAGGCGGGAACCUAGGAGGCCUGAUUAAGAUGGUCCAUCUACUGGUCUUGUCAGGUGCCUGGGGCAUGCAAAUGUGGGUGACCUUCGUCUCAGGUAGGGACCCUCAGCUUGGAUGUCAUGGGUACCUGGGGUGGGGAUGGAAAUAAGAGGGGAACCGGGAAGUGCCCUAACAACCCUGUGGUCCCCAUACCCUCCCUGCAGGCUUCCUGCUUUUCCGAAGCCUUCCCCGACAUACCUUCGGACUAGUGCAGAGCAAACUCUUCCCCUUCUACUUCCACAUCUCCAUGGGCUGUGCCUUCGUCAACCUCUGCAUCUUGGCUUCACAGCAUGCCUGGGCUCAGCUCACAUUCUGGGAGGCCAGCCAGGUACGUGGGUUUGACCUUACGCUGGCCACUGUCAACGCCCGCUGGCUGGAACCCCGCACCACAGCUGCCAUGUGGGCCCUGCAAACCGUGGAGAAGGAGCGAGGCCUGGGUGGGGAGGUACCAGGCAGCCACCAGGGUCCCGAUCCCUACCGCCAGCUGCGAGAGAAGGACCCCAAGUACAGUGCUCUCCGCCAGAAUUUCUUCCGCUACCAUGGGCUGUCCUCUCUUUGCAAUCUGGGCUGCGUCCUGAGCAAUGGGCUUUGUCUCGCUGGCCUUGCACUGGAAAUAAGGAGCCUCUAGCAUGG